This 729-nucleotide ribosomal RNA is filed under the name Staphylococcus epidermidis. RNAcentral's name for it is "bacterial SSU rRNA". It matches the Rfam family "Bacterial small subunit ribosomal RNA", at positions 45 to 759 of the family's 1533-position model. The record is from RNAcentral. Lineage: Bacteria; Bacillati; Bacillota; Bacilli; Caryophanales; Staphylococcaceae.
UGCUAUACAUGCAGUCGAGCGAACAGACGAGGAGCUUGCUCCUCUGACGUUAGCGGCGGACGGGUGAGUAACACGUGGAUAACCUACCUAUAAGACUGGGAUAACUUCGGGAAACCGGAGCUAAUACCGGAUAAUAUAUUGAACCGCAUGGUUCAAUAGUGAAAGACGGUUUUGCUGUCACUUAUAGAUGGAUCCGCGCCGCAUUAGCUAGUUGGUAAGGUAACGGCUUACCAAGGCAACGAUGCGUAGCCGACCUGAGAGGGUGAUCGGCCACACUGGAACUGAGACACGGUCCAGACUCCUACGGGAGGCAGCAGUAGGGAAUCUUCCGCAAUGGGCGAAAGCCUGACGGAGCAACGCCGCGUGAGUGAUGAAGGUCUUCGGAUCGUAAAACUCUGUUAUUAGGGAAGAACAAAUGUGUAAGUAACUAUGCACGUCUUGACGGUACCUAAUCAGAAAGCCACGGCUAACUACGUGCCAGCAGCCGCGGUAAUACGUAGGUGGCAAGCGUUAUCCGGAAUUAUUGGGCGUAAAGCGCGCGUAGGCGGUUUUUUAAGUCUGAUGUGAAAGCCCACGGCUCAACCGUGGAGGGUCAUUGGAAACUGGAAAACUUGAGUGCAGAAGAGGAAAGUGGAAUUCCAUGUGUAGCGGUGAAAUGCGCAGAGAUAUGGAGGAACACCAGUGGCGAAGGCGACUUUCUGGUCUGUAACUGACGCUGAUGUGCGAAAG